Molecule: ribosomal RNA, 468 nt
Filed under: uncultured bacterium
Lineage: Bacteria
Description: partial 16S ribosomal RNA
Rfam family: Bacterial small subunit ribosomal RNA
Source: RNAcentral
GACGAACGCUGGCGGCGUGCUUAACACAUGCAAGUCGAACGGAAAGGCCCUGCGUGUUUGGGGUGCUCGGGUGGGGAACGGGUGAGGAAGACGAGAAUAACCUAACCUUGACUUUCGUAUGGCUUAAGGAAGCUAAUGCUAAUUCAGGAUAGGAGCUCCCCCUGGAUUGUGGGGAGGGGAUAGUUGCGGCGGGUGGGGAUGGACUCGCGGAUUAUGAGCUUGUUGGUGGGGGAGUGGAAUACCAAGGCUGGGACCGGUAGCCGGCAGGUGAGGGUGAACGGCCACAAUGGGACUGCGAUACGGCCCAGACUCCUACGGGAGGCAGCGGUGGGGAAUAUUGCACAAUGGGCCGAAGCCUGAUGCAGCGACGCCGCGUGUGGGAUGACGGCCUGCGGGUUGUAAACCGCUUUCGCUUGUGACGAAGCGUGAGUGACGGUAACGAGUGAAGAAGCACCGGCUAACUACGUG